CAGUCGCCGCGGGAAUACGAAGGGGGCUAGCGUUGCUCGGAAUGACUGGGCGUAAAGGGCGCGUAGGCGGUUUGGACAGUCAGAUGUGAAAUUCCUGGGCUUAACCUGGGGGCUGCAUUUGAUACAUUCAGGCUUGAGUGUGGAAGAGGGUCGUGGAAUUCCCAGUGUAGAGGUGAAAUUCGUAGAUAUUGGGAAGAACACCGGUGGCGAAGGCGGCGACCUGGUCCAUUACUGACGCUGAGGCGCGAAAGCGUGGGGAGCAAACAGGAUUAGAUACCCGGGUAGUCCCUGUCUCUUAUAC
This 301-nucleotide ribosomal RNA is filed under the name uncultured bacterium. Its description in RNAcentral is "partial 16S ribosomal RNA". It matches the Rfam family "Bacterial small subunit ribosomal RNA", at positions 509 to 807 of the family's 1533-position model. The record is from RNAcentral.